UUCUCAAGAAGGUGUCAUUCAU
RNAcentral lists this microRNA (22 nucleotides) under Ateles geoffroyi (black-handed spider monkey). The record is from RNAcentral. Lineage: Eukaryota; Metazoa; Chordata; Mammalia; Primates; Atelidae.